UUUCGCAAUGCCCGAAAGGGUGACGAAGCGACGCCGCGUGUGGGAAGAAGGCCUUCGGGUUGUAAACCGCUGUUGGGAGUUAGGAAGUGUGGGAGUGUUAAUAGCGCUUCCACUUGACUAAAGCUCCAGAGGAAGCCACGGCUAACUCUGUGCCAGCAGCCGCGGUAAUACAGAGGCGGCAAGCGUUGUUCGGAAUUAUUGGGCGUAAAGAGCACGUAGGCGGCUCUGCAAGUCAGCUGUGAAAGCCUUCUGCUUAACGGAAGAACAGCAGUUGAAACUACAGGGCUUGAGUGCGGGAGGGGAGAGUGGAACUUCUGGUGGAGCGGUGAAAUGCGUAGAUGUCAGAAGGAACGCCGGCGGCGAAAGCGGCUCUCUGGUCCGUAACUGACGCUGAGUGUGCGAAAGCUAGGGGAGCAAACGGGAUUAGAUACUCCGGUAGUCCUAGCCGUAAACGAUGGGCACUAAGUAGAGGGGUUUU
This 478-nucleotide ribosomal RNA is filed under the name uncultured Planctomycetales bacterium. RNAcentral describes it as "bacterial SSU rRNA". It matches the Rfam family "Bacterial small subunit ribosomal RNA", at positions 364 to 832 of the family's 1533-position model. Lineage: Bacteria; Pseudomonadati; Planctomycetota; Planctomycetia; Planctomycetales. The record is from RNAcentral.